CGUUGUUUUAGUGUAGACUUGAAAUCAAAAAAUGUUUUGAAAGAAAUGGAGCAGUCAAUUGAGAAAUUCUUUGAGGGCAUCAACUUGCAUGAAAUCCAAAUGUACUACAAAGAUGAAGUUGGAGAUCUUAUUGCCUUUUCUAGUGACGAAGAAUUAAGUUUAAGAACAAAGACUUUGACAAAGAACACAAUUGACAUCUUCAUAAAAGAGAAGGAAGAGCCUCCAUGGAAAAAUACAUAUGAUUACUAGGUGGUUUCCAGGAACAUGGAAGUACAUCCAGCAAGACUUAAGAAAAAUGCCA
Molecule: long non-coding RNA, 301 nt
Organism: Pelobates fuscus (common spadefoot toad)
Lineage: Eukaryota; Metazoa; Chordata; Amphibia; Anura; Pelobatidae
Exons: 4
Source: RefSeq, a predicted model, not a curated record